Molecule: ribosomal RNA, 565 nt
Filed under: uncultured archaeon
Lineage: Archaea
Description: bacterial SSU rRNA
Rfam family: Archaeal small subunit ribosomal RNA
Source: RNAcentral
CGCGAAUCGCCCUUGGGUGCACCAGGCGCGAAAACUUUACACUGCGGGAAACCGCGAUAAGGGGACCCCGAGUGCCAGCACCUAGUGCUGGCUGUCCAGCUGUCCAAAUAACAGUUGUUAGCAAGGGCCGGGCAAGACCGGUGCCAGCCGCCGCGGUAACACCGGCGGCCCGAGUGGUAGCCGUUAUUAUUGGGUUUAAAGGGUCCGUAGCCGGCCUAUUAAGUCUCUUGGGAAAUCUGGCGACUUAAUCGUCAGGCGUCCAAGAGAUACUGGUAGGCUUGGGACCGGGAGAGGUGGGAGGUACUCCAGGGGUAGGGGUGAAAUCUCGUAAUCCUUGGGGGACCACCGAUGGCGAAGGCAUCCCACCAGAACGGGUCCGACGGUGAGGGACGAAAGCUGGGGGCACGAACCGGAUUAGAUACCCGGGUAGUCCCAGCUGUAAACGAUGCUCGCUAGGUGUCAGGUGCGGUGCGACCGCAUCUGGUGCCGCAGUGAAAACUUGAAGCGAGUCACCUGGGAAGUACGGUCGCAAGGCUGAAACUUAAAGGAAUUGGCGGGGGAGCAC